This 1027-nucleotide ribosomal RNA is filed under the name Occultifur sp. Its description in RNAcentral is "SSU rRNA". It matches the Rfam family "Eukaryotic small subunit ribosomal RNA", at positions 84 to 1117 of the family's 1831-position model. The record is from RNAcentral. Lineage: Eukaryota; Fungi; Basidiomycota; Cystobasidiomycetes; Cystobasidiales; Microsporomycetaceae.
AAACUGCGAAUGGCUCAUUAAAUCAGUUAUAGUUUAUUUGAUGGUACCUUACUACAUGGAUAACUGUGGUAAUUCUAGAGCUAAUACAUGCUGAAAAGCCCCGACUUCUGGAAGGGGUGUAUUUAUUAGAUAAAAAACCAAUGGCGGGUUUCCGUCUUGCGUUGAUUCAUGAUAACUGUUCGAAUCGCAUGGCCUUGCGCCGGCGAUGCUUCAUUCAAAUAUCUGCCCUAUCAACUUUCGAUGGUAGGAUAGGGGCCUACCAUGGUGAUGACGGGUAACGGGGAAUAAGGGUUCGAUUCCGGAGAGAGGGCCUGAGAAACGGCCCUCAGUCCUAAGGGACGCAGCAGGCGCGCAAAUUAUCCCAUCCCGACACGGGGAGAUAGUGACAAUAAAUAACAAUAUAGGGCUCUUUUGGGUCCUAUAAUUGGAAUGAGUACAAUUUAAAUCCCUUAACGAGGAUCAAUUGGAGGGCAAGUCUGGUGCCAGCAGCCGCGGUAAUUCCAGCUCCAAUAGCGUAUAUUAAAGUUGUUGCCGUUAAAAAGCUCGUAGUCGAACUUCGGCCUUUGCCGCCCGGUCCGCCUAUUUGGGUGUGUACUGGAGCGGUGGAGGCUUACCUCGUGGUGAACGGCCAUGUCCUUUACUGGGUGUGGUCGGGAACCAUGAUUUUUACUGUGAAAAAAUUAGAGUGUUCAAAGCAGGCUUACGCCCGAAUACAUUAGCAUGGAAUAAUAAAAUAGGACGUGCGGUCCUAUUUUGUUGGUUUCUAGGAUCGCCGUAAUGAUUAAUAGGGAUAGUUGGGGGCAUUCGUAUUCAAUUGUCAGAGGUGAAAUUCUUGGAUUUAUUGAAGACGAACUACUGCGAAAGCAUUUGCCAAGGAUGUUUUCAUUGAUCAAGAACGAAGGUUAGGGGAUCGAAAACGAUCAGAUACCGUUGUAGUCUUAACAGUAAACGAUGCCGACUAGGGAUCGGAUGAGAUUUUUAAUGACUCAUUCGGCACCUGAAGAGAAAUCUUUAAGUCAGGUUCGGG